Molecule: non-coding RNA, 30 nt
Filed under: Homo sapiens (human)
Lineage: Eukaryota; Metazoa; Chordata; Mammalia; Primates; Hominidae
Source: RNAcentral
UGCUGAUUGAUCCAUGGGCAGCCACGGGUU